Molecule: non-coding RNA, 46 nt
Organism: Rattus norvegicus (Norway rat)
Lineage: Eukaryota; Metazoa; Chordata; Mammalia; Rodentia; Muridae
Source: Rfam
CAAGGGGCCCCUUUAGGGGCCACUUAUUUAAAAAAUGUAAAAGACA